RNAcentral lists this ribosomal RNA (497 nucleotides) under uncultured bacterium. RNAcentral describes it as "partial 16S ribosomal RNA". It matches the Rfam family "Bacterial small subunit ribosomal RNA", at positions 28 to 507 of the family's 1533-position model. The record is from RNAcentral.
GAUGAACGCUGGCGGCGUGCCUAAUACAUGCAAGUCGAGCGAACGGACGAGAAGCUUGCUUCUCUGAUGUUAGCGGCGGACGGGUGAGUAACACGUGGAUAACCUACCUAUAAGACUGGGUUAACUUCGGGAAACCGGAGCUAAUACCGGAUAAUAUUUUGAACCGCAUGGUUCAAAAGUGAAAGACGGUCUUGCUGUCACUUAUAGAUGUAUCCGCGCUGCAUUAGCUAGUUGGUAAGGUAACGGCUUACCAAGGCAACGAUGCAUAGCCGACCUGAGAGGGUGAUCGGCCACACUGGAACUGAGACACGGUCCAGACUCCUACGGGAGGCAGCAGUAGGGAAUCUUCCGCAAUGGGCGAAAGCCUGACGGAGCAACGCCGCGUGAGUGAUGAAGGUCUUCGGAUCGUAAAACUCUGUUAUUAGGGAAGAACAUAUGUGUAAGUAACUGUGCACAUCUUGACGGUACCUAAUCAGAAAGCCACGGCUAACUACGUG